This 451-nucleotide ribosomal RNA is filed under the name uncultured bacterium. RNAcentral's name for it is "bacterial SSU rRNA". It matches the Rfam family "Bacterial small subunit ribosomal RNA", at positions 38 to 507 of the family's 1533-position model. The record is from RNAcentral.
GGCGGCGCGCUUAAUACAUGCAAGUCGAACGAGAAGCCAGAGCUUGCUCUGGUGGAAAGUGGCGAACGGGUGAGUAACACGUGAGAAACCUGCCCAAAGAUUGGGAUAAGCCUUGGAAACGAGGUCUAAUACCAAAUACCUUCUUUUAACACAUGUUAAAAGAAGAAAUGCUCCGGCGCUUUGGGAUGGUCUCGCGAUCUAUCAGCUUGUUGGUGAGGUAACGGGCUCACCAAGGCAUCGACGGAUAGCUGGUCUGAGAGGAUGUCCAGCCACAUUGGAACUGAGACACGGUCCAAACUCCUACGGGAGGCAGCAGUAGGGAAUCUUGCACAAUGAGGGAAACCUUGAUGCAGCGACGCCGCGUGCGGGACGAAGGCCCUAGGGUUGUAAACCGCUUUCAGUAGGGACGAAAGUGACGGUACCUACAGAAGAAGCCCCGGCCAACUAUGUG